This 453-nucleotide ribosomal RNA is filed under the name uncultured bacterium. Its description in RNAcentral is "bacterial SSU rRNA". It matches the Rfam family "Bacterial small subunit ribosomal RNA", at positions 29 to 507 of the family's 1533-position model. The record is from RNAcentral.
AACGAACGCGGGCGGCAGGCCUAACACAUGCAAGUCGAGCGAGACCUUCGGGUCUAGCGGCGGACGGGUUAGUAACGCGUUGGUGACCUGCCCCGAAGAGGGGGACAACAGCUCGAAAGGGCUGCUAAUACCCCAUGUGGUCGUACAGGUUAGAGGCUGAACGACUAAAGGAGCAAUCCACUUCGGGGGGGGCCUGCGUCCCAUCAGCUAGUUGGUAAGGUAACGGCCUACCAAGGCGAAGACGGGUAGGGGGUCUGAGAGGGUGGCCCCCCACACUGGCACUGAAACACGGGCCAGACACCUACGGGUGGCAGCAGUAGGGAAUAUUGCACAAUGGGCGAAAGCCUGAUGCAGCAACGCCGCGUGCGCGAAGAAGGCCUUCGGGUUGUAAAGCGCUUUUCUGGAGGAAGAGGAAGGACGGUACUCCAGGAAUAAGGAUCGGCUAACUACGUG